AGCCUCGACAACCAGCGAUCCCAGAUCAUGCUUCUCCUCAACGAAACCGUCGCACUCGACACCUUUCUGAGCCUCCAGCGUGAUCUUGCGAAGAAGGAAUCCGACGUCGCAGACCUGGAACGACGACUGGAAGCCGCGAACUCAAUCAGCACCAUCAGCGACACGAUCAAACUGCGAACCGCAGAACUCGUCGCCUCGGUCCGAACCGAACUGAACGAGCGAAAUGACAGCCUCGUUGAAUCGAUCUCCCUAUUCGGCGAACUCGGCGCAGAGAUCUACACCGACCGUGAGGCAUCACUUCUGAUUUCGCCGACACCCAAAGGACUCUUAGGCGUCGAGCCCC
RNAcentral lists this unclassified non-coding RNA (343 nucleotides) under uncultured fungus. RNAcentral describes it as "sequence contains ITS1". Lineage: Eukaryota; Fungi. The record is from RNAcentral.